RNAcentral lists this ribosomal RNA (394 nucleotides) under uncultured Stenotrophomonas sp. RNAcentral's name for it is "bacterial SSU rRNA". It matches the Rfam family "Bacterial small subunit ribosomal RNA", at positions 470 to 862 of the family's 1533-position model. Lineage: Bacteria; Pseudomonadati; Pseudomonadota; Gammaproteobacteria; Lysobacterales; Lysobacteraceae. The record is from RNAcentral.
UGACGGUACCCAAAGAAUAAGCACCGGCUAACUUCGUGCCAGCAGCCGCGGUAAUACGUAGGGUGCAAGCGUUACUCGGAAUUACUGGGCGUAAAGCGUGCGCAGGUGGUUGUUUAAGUCUGUUGUGAAAGCCCUGGGCUCAACCUGGGAACUGCAUUGGAGACUGGGCGACUAGAGUGUGGUAGAGGGUAGCGGAAUUCCUGGUGUAGCAGUGAAAUGCGUAGAUAUCAGGAGGAACAUCCAUGGCGAAGGCAACUACCUGGGCCAGCACUGACACUGAGGCACGAAAGCGUGGGGAGCAAACAGGAUUAGAUACCCUGGUAGUCCACGCCCUAAACGAUGCCAACUGGAUGUUGGGUGCAAUUUGGCACGCAAUAUCAAAUCUAACGCGUUA